UACGUAGGGUCCGAGCGUUGUCCGGAAUUAUUGGGCGUAAAGAGCUCGUAGGCGGUCCGUUAAGUCGGAAGUGAAAUCUCAAGGCUCAACCUUGAAAUCGCUUUCGAUACUGGCGGACUUGAGGCAGGUAGGGGAAGGUGGAAUUCCUGGUGUAGCGGUGAAAUGCGCAGAUAUCAGGAGGAACACCGGUGGCGAAGGCGGGACUCUGGGCCGAUACUGACGCUGAGGAGCGAAAGCGUGGGGAGCGAACAGG
Molecule: ribosomal RNA, 253 nt
Filed under: uncultured bacterium
Lineage: Bacteria
Description: partial 16S ribosomal RNA
Rfam family: Bacterial small subunit ribosomal RNA
Source: RNAcentral